UUAGGACGAACGCUGGCGGCGUGCCUAACGCAUGCAAGUCGAGCGGGGAUGGUAGCUGAAGGUGAUGAGCUGGAAGCUGCCAUCUUAGCGGCGGACGGGUGAGUAACACGUGAGCAACCUACCCUCAGCACGGGGAUAACAGCUCGAAAGGGCUGCUAAUACCCGAUGGGACCACGUCAUUGCAUGGUGAUGUGGUGAAAGGGUGGACGUAAGGUCCAUACCGGCUGGGGAUGGGCUCGCGGCCCAUCAGCUAGUUGGUGGGGUAACGGCCUACCAAGGCGACGACGGGUAGCCGGCCUGAGAGGGUGACCGGCCACAGUGGGACUGAGACACGGCCCACACUCCUACGGGAGGCAGCAGCGGGGAAUCUUGCGCAAUGGGCGAAAGCCUGACGCAGCGACGCCGCGUGAGGGAAGGAGCCCUUCGGGGUGUAAACCUCUUUGGACGGGGAGAAGUAGGAGAUAGUACCCGUUUAAAAAGCCACGGCUAACUACGUGCCAGCAGCCGCGGUAAUACGUAGGUGGCGAGCGUUGUCCGGAAUUACUGGGCGUAAAGGGUGCGUAGGCGGCCUGGUAAGUUGAGCGUGAAAUUUUUGGGCUCAACCCAAAAGGAGCGUUCAAGACUGCCAGGCUUGAGUGCGGGAGAGGACGGCGGAAUUCCCGGUGUAGCGGUGAGAUGCGUAGAUAUCGGGAGGAACACCAGUGGCGAAGGCGGCCGUCUGGACCGUAACUGACGCUGAGGCACGAAAGCGUGGGGAGCAAACAGGAUUAGAUACCCUGGUAGUCCACGCUGUAAACGAUGGAUGCUAGGUGUGGGGGAGAAGAACUCUUCCGUGCCGUAGUUAACACAAUAAGCAUCCCGCCUGGGGGGUACGGCCGCAAGGUU
This 885-nucleotide ribosomal RNA is filed under the name uncultured bacterium. RNAcentral's name for it is "bacterial SSU rRNA". It matches the Rfam family "Bacterial small subunit ribosomal RNA", at positions 24 to 895 of the family's 1533-position model. The record is from RNAcentral.